UACGAAGGGGGCUAGCGUUGCUCGGAAUCACUGGGCGUAAAGCGCACGUAGGCGGCUUUUUAAGUCAGGGGUGAAAUCCUGGAGCUUAACUCCAGAACUGCCUUUGAUACUGGGAAGCUAGAGUCCGGAAGAGGUGAGUGGAACUGCGAGUGUAGAGGUGAAAUUCGUAGAUAUUCGCAAGAACACCAGUGGCGAAGGCGGCUCACUGGUCCGGUACUGACGCUGAGGUGCGAAAGCGUGGGGAGCAAACAGG
Molecule: ribosomal RNA, 253 nt
Filed under: uncultured bacterium
Lineage: Bacteria
Description: partial 16S ribosomal RNA
Rfam family: Bacterial small subunit ribosomal RNA
Source: RNAcentral